GAGUUUGAUCUUGGCUCAGGAUGAACGCUGGCGGCGUGCUUAACACAUGCAAGUCGAACGAGGAAUUUUAAAUGAGACUUCGGUGGAUUUUAAAAUUCUUAGUGGCGGACGGGUGAGUAACGCGUGGGCAACCUGCCCUGUACAGGGGGGACAACAGCUGGAAACGGCUGCUAAUACCGCAUAAGACCACGGAGCCGCAUGGCUCAGUGGGAAAAACUCCGGUGGUACAGGAUGGGCCCGCGUUGGAUUAGGUAGUUGGUGAGGUAACGGCCCACCAAGCCGACGAUCCAUAGCCGACCUGAGAGGGUGACCGGCCACGUUGGGACUGAGACACGGCCCAAACUCCUACGGGAGGCAGCAGUGGGGAAUCUUCCGCAAUGGGCGAAAGCCUGACGGAGCAACGCCGCGUGAGUGAAGAAUUAUUUCGGUAUGUAAAGCUCUAUCAGCAGGGAAGAAAAUGACGGUACCUGACUAAGAAGCCCCGGCUAACUACGUGCCAGCAGCCGCCGU
This 510-nucleotide ribosomal RNA is filed under the name uncultured microorganism. RNAcentral's name for it is "bacterial SSU rRNA". It matches the Rfam family "Bacterial small subunit ribosomal RNA", at positions 9 to 521 of the family's 1533-position model. The record is from RNAcentral.